RNAcentral lists this ribosomal RNA (429 nucleotides) under Chloroflexota bacterium. RNAcentral's name for it is "Chloroflexi bacterium partial 16S ribosomal RNA". It matches the Rfam family "Bacterial small subunit ribosomal RNA", at positions 355 to 776 of the family's 1533-position model. The record is from RNAcentral. Lineage: Bacteria; Bacillati; Chloroflexota.
UGGGGAAUAUUGCACAAUGGGCGCAAGCCUGAUGCAGCCAUGCCGCGUGUGUGAAGAAGGCCUUUGGGUUGUAAAGCACUUUCAGCGGGGAGGAAGGCGGUGAGGUUAAUAACCUCAUCGAUUGACGUUACCCGCAGAAGAAGCACCGGCUAACUCCGUGCCAGCAGCCGCGGUAAUACGGAGGGUGCAAGCGUUAAUCGGAAUUACUGGGCGUAAAGCGCACGCAGGCGGUCUGUCAAGUCGGAUGUGAAAUCCCCGGGCUCAACCUGGGAACUGCAUUCGAAACUGGCAGGCUAGAGUCUUGUAGAGGGGGGUAGAAUUCCAGGUGUAGCGGUGAAAUGCGUAGAGAUCUGGAGGAAUACCGGUGGCGAAGGCGGCCCCCUGGACAAAGACUGACGCUCAGGUGCGAAAGCGUGGGGAGCAAACAGG